Molecule: ribosomal RNA, 407 nt
Filed under: uncultured bacterium
Lineage: Bacteria
Description: partial 16S ribosomal RNA
Rfam family: Bacterial small subunit ribosomal RNA
Source: RNAcentral
AUUGAACGCUGGCGGCAGGCCUAACACAUGCAAGUCGAGCGGAGCGGCGGACGGGCGAGUAAUGCCUAGGAAUCUGCCUGGUAGAGGGGGAUAACGUCCGGAAACGGGCGCUAAUACCGCAUACUAUCAGAUGAGCCUAGGUCGGAUUAGCUAGUUGGUGGGGUACAGGCCUACCAAGGCGACGACCCGUAACUGGCCUGAGAGGAUGAUCAGUCACACUGGAACUGAGACACGGUCCAGACUCGUACGGAAGGCAGCAGUGGGGAAUAUUGGACAAUGGGCGAAAGCCUGAGCCAGCCAUGCCGCGUGUGUGAAGAAGGUCUGCGGAUUGUAAAGCACUUUAAGUUGGGAGGCGUUACCAACAGAAUAAGCACCGGCUAACUUCGUGCCAGGAGCCGCGGUAAUUC